CCUACGGGAGGCUGCAGUGGGGAAUAUUGCACAAUGGGGGAAACCCUGAUGCAUCGACGCCGCGUGAGUGAAGAAGUAUUUCGGUAUGUAAAGCUCUAUCAGCAGGGAAGAAAAUGACGGUACCUGAUUAAGAAGCCCCGGCUAACUACGUGCCAGCAGCCGCGGUAAUACGUAGGGGGCAAGCGUUAUCCGGAUUUACUGGGUGUAAAGGGAGCGUAGACGGGGAUGCAAGUCAGAAGUGAAAGCCCGGGGCUCAACUCCGGGACUGCUUUUGAAACUGUGUAACUUGAGUGCAGGAGAGGUAAGCGGAAUUCCGGGUGUAGCGGUGAAAUGCGUAGAUAUCAGGAGGAACACCAGUGGCGAAGGCGGCUUACUGGACUGUAACUGACGUUGAGGCUCGAAAGCGUGGGGAGCAAACAGGAUUAGAUACCCUUGUAGUC
RNAcentral lists this ribosomal RNA (440 nucleotides) under uncultured bacterium. RNAcentral's name for it is "partial 16S ribosomal RNA". It matches the Rfam family "Bacterial small subunit ribosomal RNA", at positions 338 to 795 of the family's 1533-position model. The record is from RNAcentral.